Long non-coding RNA from Rosa rugosa (rugosa rose), 1167 nucleotides. RefSeq lists it as uncharacterized. The record is from RefSeq and is a predicted model, not a curated record. Lineage: Eukaryota; Viridiplantae; Streptophyta; Magnoliopsida; Rosales; Rosaceae. The transcript is spliced from 5 exons.
UGUCCUACCUGUUCUACCCCUACCUCAUGUCUUCUAUGACGGAAUUGUCCUGCCUCAUGUCUUCUGUGGCAUCGAGUCCCAGGAGCUGUUUGCUUCUCCUGCCACCGAGUAGUGUUGACGUGGAAGGACGCGCGCUGUUUGCUUCUCCUGUUGAGAGUUUUUCUCGAUUGCCCCCCCAGUGUUGUGAUGUAUCUUUCUGGCCAUCUGUCCUGUUGUUCUGUUGCCACGAAGAGAGAGUGAGAUCGGUAGCCUAAAACAGAGACGGUUGUACACGAUAGGGCUGAGCAGCAGACCAGGUGCCGAUAAGAAUACCAUGUGAUAAUCCUGUUGAUGUCGCCAAAUGAUGACAAAAUGAAGGAACUCGAGAAUUCCAGAUUCUGUAUCCGGACAAACAGCUCCAGCAUUCUAUAUUCUGUAUCCGGACAAACAAUACUAUAGAGGGAUUGAAUUUGGGAUUACGUUUUUGCCCUCAAUAGCUAGAUAUAUAUAAAAGACCUCUUCAGUACCAUUCCAAUUCGAGAAGCCUCCAUCAGCGUCAAUACCCACUUUCAGCCAACAUCAACCGUUUUCAUCAAAAUUGACAUCAGGCUUGCUCCGACACUUGGAUUUGGGUGCUGAUCUCGGACAAUAGAGCUACAGCAAGACCAGGUCAAAUAGACGAAUACCUAUUAUAAAAAUGUUUUAGCUCUGUUGUUUUGUCCAUCUUCUUCUAUUCGAGUCUUACUCUAUUAUCUGCUUAGAUGAUGUUAAUUUUGACCUUUUGCACGCUUUGAUGAGUCAUUUUUGUUAGAAGAGACUGGAAUCGUAAAGAGGAUACACUGUAGUGGUACUGUCUUUUUCUCGCUUGGAAGAAGGACCGAAGCAACUAGAUAUUGCGUUCUUGGAAUCGGAAGAGGAGGAGAGAAGACUUUUGAUUGAAGAGAGUACCUUUUCAGUGAUUGACAAAACAGAUAAAAAAAGAACUUCCUUUCUUUGGUUGUCAAUCAGGUGAACUGUGGGAAAUCAGAACAAAAUGCUUGAAGAAAACGUUCAACCUACAUUGGUUCGUGAGAUAAAGGGUUAUCAGGCCGUCUUCAAAGUGAGGGUUCGUGUAUGCAGAAUAUGGAGGCCAAAGAGAUUUAAAAGUGAGAUAUAUGAUGGCCUUCACUACAUCUUAAUUGACGAGGA